This 97-nucleotide transfer RNA is filed under the name Bacillota bacterium. RNAcentral's name for it is "Firmicutes bacterium (anaerobic digester metagenome) tRNA-Sec". It matches the Rfam family "Selenocysteine transfer RNA". The record is from RNAcentral. RNAcentral also lists the same sequence under 1 other name. Lineage: Bacteria; Bacillati; Bacillota.
GGGAGCAGAUGGAUCCUGGUGGGUCUCCUGGACUUCAAAUCCAGUGUCGGGCGGUAAGACCGGCCGGGGUGGGUUCGAUUCCCACAUGCUCCCGCCA